GUUCUCUUCAUCAGAUCUGCCAAGGUUUUUUCUUUUUUUCAUUUUUUGUUUAAAGAGAGGGAGAGAGAAAGUAACAAGACUAGCUUGUUACACGUUGCAUGCAACUGGUUACAAGAUCUGUCUGUCCUUCAAGCGCCCAAACAGUAAAGCGAGGAAGUUAACAAGACACGUGGCUGUUAUUAUUUCAAUUACAAUGUCUUCUGGAAUUCUUCCAGAGAAAGCAGAUGUAGGUUUGGCCCAAAGGCUACUAGAUAAACUGUUACAUUUGUUAUAAAAUACAUACGGCUUCUGAAGUUACUUGCUUGGUGGAUAUGAGUUCGAAAAGAAACAGCACUAGGUUGGGAUGACUGAAUGCAGGGACGAGGGACCGGUGGCUCUACAGAUGUGGGGUAGAGCUACCCUCUCAACCCUGGCCUCCCUUCAGGAGAUCAGGACCUGAGCUAUAAUUCCCAGAGUGGUUGAAUGUUCAAUCCCUCUUCCCAGGGAAUUGUAGUUCUGUAGGCGGGAAAGGGCUCUUCUAAGAGCUCUCAGCAUCCUUCACAAACUAUAGCUCCCUGAAUCAUUUGCAGGGCAGUCAUGACUGUUUAAAAUUAUACGACACUGCUUUAAAUCUAUAGCAGAAACAGGGCUUAAAUGUCAUGCCUUUUAGUAUAGUGUUCUCUCUAAUACUGAGAGCCAGUGUGGUGUAGUGGUUAAGAGCAGUGGACUCAUAAUCUGGUGAACCGGGUUCGCGUCUCCGCUCCUCCACAUGCAGCUGCUGGGUGACCUUGGGCCAGUCACACUUCUCUGAAGUCUCUCAGCCUCACUCACCUCACAGAGUGUUUGUUAUGGGGGAGGAAGGGAAAGUAGAAUGUUAGCUAAUUUGAGACUCCUUCGGGUAGUGAUAAAGCGGGAUAUCAAAUCCAAACUCUUCUAAUACGCGUAUGUUUUUGUUGUUGGAGAACUACAUUGCAAAAUUCAGAGAAGGAUAGCUGUGUUUUCCUUCUUGUCUUGGUCCAGGAAGUGCAGGUUAAGUGCGCUGAAUGCGUUUCUCCACCAACUCUACACCUACACAGGACAAGCCAGGAUGCUCUGUUGCCAUUGCACCUUCUCUCUUAACCUGGUAGAAGAGACUCCAAGAUCAUAAUGGAAGGAAGGAAAGAAAUAAAGUUAAAUCUAAAUGUCUUCCUUCUUAGUUACUCACCUGGCAUCUCAUUAAACACUUUAAGCUCCUCUUUAAACUUCUAAAGAACUAUGGAGGUUGGGCUGCUAUUGUUCUGAAAGUCUUUUCUUAUUGAGGAGACUUAUCAAAGGGAGGAAAGCUCCUUUUCCUCAGGAUUUACAAGGGACGUGUCAGAUUUGCUUAAGUUACUGCCAGCCUCGUUUUGAAAACCUCCACCUGUCUCCCUGUUUGGGUGUCGUCAGCAGGUGUGGGGGGUUUUGUUUCACUCUCUCCCCACAAGCUGCCUUUACAGCCUCCUUUCCCGUAUUAUUUUCUGAUCUACACAUGUCACUUGAAUCACAUUUCUCUGAACAUAGUCAAGGGGGAAAAAACACCAGUUGGGGAGCAUUUGGAAGCAGACAAUCUCACAUAAGGAAGUGAGAUUACAAACACAAUUUUAGUGGAGAACCCACAAUUAUGGAGUUCCCUCCCUGAGACCUACAUCAUUCCCCUUCUCUCACCAUGGAGACUUUUCUAUCCAAUAAGGCAUUUUUGAAUAAUUCCUCUGGUUAUGUGUUUUAUCUGUAUUUGCUUUAAUUUUUGUGAGCUGCCCUGAGUUCUAGUACUGGAGGAAAGGUGGGAUGUAAAUAAUAAAAAAAAUUGAACAGGUAAACACUGGGGAGACAAAGGGCACAUUCGCACUUGAGAGCAAUUUAAACAGUCGUGGCUUCUCCCAAAGAAUUCUGGGAACUGUAGCUUGUUACAGGUGCUGAGAAAUGUUAGGAGACCAUUAUUCCCCUCACAGAGCUCCCUGGGAAUAGGAGCUCUGAGAGAGAAAUGAGGUCUCCUAACAACUCUCAUUACCCCUAAUGAACUACAGCUCCCAGAAUUCUUUGGUGUAAGCCAUGACUGUUCAAAUGGUAUCAUAGUAUGUUAAGUGCAUGGUGUGAAUGUGGCCCAAGUGAGAUGAGUGGUCAAAGAGGCAAUACUGUGGUGGCAAGUGCUUAAGGGAUGCUUGUUCUUAUGUGGGUGAGAAGAGCAAAGGCCCUCCUUUGGUUAAUAAUGAAAGCCAUGUGACCGUAGCUGCGGAGAUAACAUUGAUCUUACAUGCCUUGGAAACUAUAGCUAAGGAAAUUGAGUGUGAUAAUCUGCCAACUGGUAUUUCACCCGCCCAAAAAAGAUUAAAAAUAUAUAUAAGGAAGAUACGUUCAUCUCAGGCAAAUAGCCAACCAGAUGAAUGCUUCAAUAGAUGUGUACUUAAAUGAUACCGAUAUGAAAGACAAACACAGCUGUUAGCCUUUAAAAUAUAUGUGCAAUUAAAGCUUUUUAUGUGGUGUCUUGUGAUAACUUAAGGCAUCUUCCCCCCCCCCUGAAAUAUUUCCUUUUGACCAAUGCCAGAUAACUAUAUAGGACAUUAGUGGGUUCUUGUUGUUAUAGGGUGUGCAUUCCUCAUUUUGCCUGAUUGGUGCUCUCAGGAAGACUCCCUUGCUCAAUAGACAGGAAAUAGACAUACUGGUAGAUUAAUCCACCAACAGCCCAACCCUAUCCAUUUGUACUCAAAAAUAGUUUGAGUUCAGAGGAGUUUGCUCACAUAAACAUUGCACAGGGUUGCAGUCUUUGUUGUCUCCUUAGGCCAAAGUCCUAGACCAGGCAUGUCCAACUCCCAAGAGACUGCAAUCUACUCCCAGUAUAAAACAACUGGCAAUGAUCUACCCAUUUUCAUUGGAGGGAUGAGGAGUGUUCAUGGGGUGGGUGGAUUGCCCAGAGUUGUGGAGCCCAGAGUUGUGGAGCUUUUUCAGGGUAGGAUUGCCCAGAGUUCUUCAGCUUUUACUUGUUAACUUUUGGUAAACUUUAUUUAAUCCCAUGAUUGAUAAGGGUCCCAUGAUCUACCAGGAUCAGCCUGGGAUCUACUGGUAGAUCACGAUCUACUGGUUGGACAUGCCUGUCCUAGACUCAUUUCCCUGGGAGUAAGACCCACUGAACACAAUAGAACCUGUUCAGAGCAAACAUGCUAUUACAUGGACUAUUAAUUGAUUAGUAAAUGAGGGUAGUUUUUUUUAUCAAAUGAGAUGCGUCUUAUAGCUUUCUGCUUCUUUUUGAGAGUAUUUCAGUGCUGGUAUGCUUAUCAACAAAUGCAAAAGGAAAAAAUAAAUAAACAUGGCUUCCAGAUUAUGCAUGGUAGCAUCUGUUGAUUAAAUUUCCUUCAAAAGGCCAUCUGUAUUGAAGGUUUGGUAAUAUGCAGCUUUGCAGAAACUUCAGUAAUAUAUGAAAAGGUGAAACCAGGUUUCCAAAGGCUUUGCAUGAGAUUUUCAAAUACUCAGCAUUACAACAUGGCAUUAUGCAUAUUGUUUAACAAGGGAGUUCAAGUACAGCAAUGACAGGCCUAAAAGUCAAUGGCAGGCCACAGGUUUUGCAAGAUUAUAAACCCCAAAAAAUCCCCUUUGCUGCAAAACAGAACAAUCUGAACAACAUCAAGCAACACGUAGGCUAAUAAUAUAUUCACAAUACAGGUUUUGCAAGUGCAGAGUCCAAUGUUCAGUCUCUGGUAUCUCCAAUUAAAAUAUCUCACUUAGCUGGGCUCGGGGUGGGGGGUGGGGGUGAGGGGACUGCUUCCAAUAGAGGCCCUAGAGAGACAAUGAAGUAUGAUCAAAACAAUUGGGUUAGGUGGUUUGACAGCUUUCCAGGUUCAAGUGCAGCAGUCCAUUUCCUGGAUGUGAGCUGUCAGCAACACUUGGAAAGUUCCUUAUAAAAAAAGGAACUGGUUACAGUUCUAGUUCAUGCUGUUUAAAAAGGAAUGAGUUCCAGUUCGUCCUUUAACAAAAUGAACUAGUUCAGUAUAAGUUCAUUCAAAUAAACCUUUUAGUUCCAAAAGUAAAUCGGGGCAAACACAAGUAAUAAGAUGUCUGACACAGACAUAAUGUAAACCGGUCUAGCUUUCCCUAUAAUUGUAUUUCCAUACUAGAAAAUGUUUACCUUGUUUAUUUGGGCCAGCCACACAGCUAUCACUUUAUUUCUUUAUCUGUACUUCCCACUGCAAGCUGCUCCUGUUGGAAGAGAAUGAAUUUCUUCAGGAGGGAAGAUAAUCUUCUGAUUACUUAGCAACAGUGAUUAAACAACCUUAGCAGCAGUAAUAGCCCUGCAACUGCCUAAUAAGCCUCAGAAUGUUGCCUCCACAUUUUGCUUUCUAACUUUCUUUACAGAUGUCCAAUUAUUAUUAUUUUUUAAAAAAUAUUUUAUUGAAUUGUAAAACAAACAAAGAAGCAAAUACAAUUUGUGGAUAUACAUCAAAUAAUAACUGUUUAUGCUGUCACAUUACACAACCAUGCCUCUAAUAUUAACAGUUAAACGAGAGGAGCACAGUUUUUAUAAAUCAAUUACGAGGUACAAAUUUGAUGCAUUGGUACAGCCCAAGAACUAUGCAGAUCAUUUGCAGUAGCAUAAGAGAUAAAUUCAAAUGACAUAGAAAUGUUCCAGGUCUUCACAUCCUUUUGAAACUUUUAAAUUCUGUUAUUUUCUCAGUAUUGCCAGAUUCUAGACAUUAUUAUACCACAAAGACAAUCAUGUCAUGCCUUCCUUUUGGAGCCAUAAAAAUUCAAGCAGCUGCCAACAACCACAUUACUAAGUCCUUUGAAUGUACUGUAUAUUUGCUGCCUGAUUAUCCAGCAUGUUUAGCAUUUGACUGCUAGUUAUUUGAACAGCAGUCUUAAUAAUUUUAGCAAUCUCCUGAUAUACCUCAAUCCAAAAUUUGUAAAUAAGCAGGCACUCACACCACAAAUCGAAGUGCGUGCCCCUGGCACUACACUCAUGCCAGCAAACCGGUGUCAUGGGAGAGAGAGGAGAUCCCAGCAGACUUUAGGGAUGCCAAAAUUAUCCAUUUCUUUACAAAAGGUGAUAAAAUGGAUUGAGGAAACGAUCGAGGCAUCUCCUUAUUAGCUGCGAACGGCAAAAUUCUUGCAAGGAUCUUAGCAAACCAUCUCCUAACAAUAUCCAAGGUUACCCUUCCUGAAUCCCAAAAUGGUUUUCGACCUUCUAGGGGGUAGUGGACAUGAUUUUUCUCUGCUUGACACCUUCAAGAACAAUGCAGACAGCAAAACCAGCCCCUGUAUAUGGCGUUUAUUGACCUGACUAAGGCCUUCGACACCGUAAAUCGUAAUGCCCUGUGGACUGUCCUUCUGAAAAUUGGCUGCCCAGAUAAAUUUGUGAACAUCAUUCGGCUCCUCCAUGAUAAUAUGGCAGCAACCAUCACAAGUAACAAUGGCUUUCAAAGUGAACAAUUCACAGUGGGAUCUGGGGUUAAACAGGGUUGUGUUAUCUCCCCAACUCUAUUUAUUAUUUUCAUUGCCAUGAUCCUACACUUUGUCGAAGGGAAAUUCCCUACUGGAGUAGAAAUCAUAUAUCAAACAGAUGGAAAGCUCUUUAAUCUGAGUAGGCUGAAAGCAAAGUUACUGUAACUUCCAUCAUAGAGCUUCAGUAUGCUGAUGACAAUAUAGUGUGUGCAGACUCAGAGGAUGAUCUCCAAACCAUCCUAAAUAUCUUUGCAUAAGCUUAAAAAAAGCUUGGCCUGUCACUCAACAUCCAAAAAACCAAAGUGCUGCACCAACAAGCACAAAACAACCCCUCUACAGUGCCACAAAUCCAACUCAAUAAUGUAAUGUUGGAAAGUGUUGAUCACUUCUCCUACCUGGACAGUUAUCUUUCUACAAGGGCUGACGCUGUUGCCAAAAUCCAGCAUUUCCUGAGCUCUGUGUGUGUAGCUUUCUCCCGACUGAAGGGCAGAGUGUUUGAGGACUGGGACACUUGCAGGGAAACCAAAAUGCUUGCUUACAAUAAGAGAUAGCAUAAAACAGUAGCAAAGGAAUGACCACCAUAUAAACUUUAUGUGAAGUUGAUGGGCAGAUCAAAGGCCUUCUUCUAGUGCCAAAAACAAUGGGGAAGAUUUUUCUAAGCUUGAGGCUCAGCAACUGAAAAAACACACAACAAAAACACAAAACUCUAUCUUAGGUGACCACCUACUUUGCUUCUGAAUAUGAAGGAACCCGAAGAAGAGUUUUAAUUAUUAGGCAGGUCCUUAAAAUGCCAAUAAUCUUGACUGUUUGCCAUGUUGGAGGUCGAUUGGGGCUUUAAUCUAGAAACAUCUCGCAUAACAUUGUGUAUCCCUGCCUUAAGAUAUUCCAGCCUCAAUCCAUUUAAGGCUUUAAAGGUUAAAAGCAGAAACUUGAUUUAAGCCCAGAAGUACAUUGUGAGCCACUGCAGCCAUGUUAGGGUUGGAAAGAUCUGAUCCAUACACCCAGUCUUAGUCAGAGUCUACACUGUGUUCUGUUUUGCACAAACUGCUUCAUAUGGUGUCAGAAUCUAAAGAAUAUGCUUCUUACCAUAUCAAAUAAUUAGUCCAUCAGGCCCAGUAUUGCUUUGCUUGUUUCCCAUACUCUGUGCAUAAGUAUAGAGACAACUGAAACCAUGAGUCAUUCCCUCCAGCUGCUUCUUUCUUGUAGUUUCCUGCCUUUUAGCAGGUCUCUGUAGCACCACCUCAGUUUUCUGUGCAACAAAGAAGCUAUAAUCCCCAGUACCAGGUAUUCCUUUGUCAUUUGUAUUAUUCUCCCCCUCCCCUUUAGGAUUUAAUUUAAAGCUCUCCUGAUCAGGUUCGUAAGUCUCUUAGCAAAUACAUUCUUGCCAACCCCAUUGAGGUGCAACCCAUCUCUUGCCAGAAGUCCUUCAUCAAGGAAGUGGAGUAUAUGUGUGCUGUUUUUCACAGGCUGGUAAAGACCCUUGAGCAAUUUAUAUCUAUACUCCUGUGACAAUGUUAACAUCCUCAAAAUAGAUAUGUUGGCUGCCUAGUUCAAUUUUUGUCUUUAAAAUUAUUUAAAAGUCUCACUGGGAAUCUAAUCAAGUCCUUUGCGGAAUUUACAGAUUUCCCAGCAUGAGAGAACCCAUUUAGCAGAAAAGAAUGUAAGACAUCAACACUUUUCAAUCAGAAGCUAAUUAAACAGCAGCACAGAACAGUUUGCAGAGGGUGUGCAAACAGCACUCUUGAAUCUCCAAGACUGCAGGGCAGAGUGUGUUUAGUUGUGCUGGCUUCACAGUCCUACUUUGUGAUUUACUCCUUGGCAAUUUAGAAAGGAUGGUGCUAAAGAACCUUGAUUUCAAACUUGUGAAAUACACACAUUUUUUUCCACCCCUCCCCUUUUCCCUUCUUUUGUUGUUGUUGUUGAGAUUUACAUGAAAACAGAGUGAGUAAUGAGUCCAUCAACAAGUCCUUUCUUAUCAGAGCUGUAAGUUUCUGCCGUGAGAUUCUUUUCUUGUUUAAUUAUCAGGUCUUUAAAAGGCGCAUCUUUCAUCUGUCUCGAUUACUUCCUCUGUUUUCCAGAUAAUGAGUAGCUUAAUCCCAUGUGCUAUAAGACAGAUCUGUUUACUAAAAAAAAAAGUUGGCUUAGUGUCCAUCUUAUGAAAGAACAUUGAGGACUUAAUUGUGGUUUCUGCUUUUUUAUUCAAUGGGUACGAUCCAAAGUUAAGCAUUUUUAUAGCCUCUUGAUUUAAUGGGAGAGUUAAGCAUGUGCUUAAAAUCUUCUAUAUUGAAAUCAACAGUACUUAUAAAUGCUUAAUUAAUUUUGUCUGGAUGGUGCCUUGUGUAGUUAUUCUAGACAUUCAAAGGUUCCAAGUUAGUCUGGGGGAAAAACUCUGCCCAUGUUCCAGUACCUACUCUGGCUUGGCUCAGUAUAUGUACAUGAAUGAAUGAAGAUGAUCCUUUGGCACAGCUUCCUUGUGGUAAUCUUGGCUUUGGAACUCAUGCUUUUUUAUAUGUAUUUGUGCAGUUGGCUCCAAUGAGCUGAAAUCUAUUUUGUGUUCACGGAUAAUAGCCAGCCGCUUGGCUCAGCUUGUAUUGUGGCUUUAUCUGGAAGUAUAUCCAUAUUGACUUUAAAAAAUGCCCGUGGGUACCAAGCUUUUCAUUUCCAAACUGGCAUUGUUUCCACAAUCAUAUUUACACGGACUCCUUUUUCAUUUUCUCUUCUCCUUCACAGAUUCCAUGGAUGAAGCCUCUGACCACAUAUUGGAAGACUUUGCCAUUGCCCAACAAGCAACCCAUCGUGAUAAAUACUGAUUGCAUGUUAUGGACUUGGAGAGCACAUUAAGAAUUUUCUCCCUAACUCCUUAAAUAUCUUGAAGAAUCAACCAUAAGUAGAGUGUAAUGUUUCAUAACUGGGGCCCACAACUGUGCUGUGGGAACUGUGUCAAACACAGAGGC
Molecule: long non-coding RNA, 8381 nt
Filed under: Podarcis lilfordi (Lilford's wall lizard)
Lineage: Eukaryota; Metazoa; Chordata; Lepidosauria; Squamata; Lacertidae
Source: RNAcentral